RNAcentral lists this ribosomal RNA (723 nucleotides) under uncultured Bacteroidales bacterium. RNAcentral describes it as "bacterial SSU rRNA". It matches the Rfam family "Bacterial small subunit ribosomal RNA", at positions 66 to 776 of the family's 1533-position model. The record is from RNAcentral. Lineage: Bacteria; Pseudomonadati; Bacteroidota; Bacteroidia; Bacteroidales.
GGGGCAGCAUGGUCUUAGCUUGCUAAGGCUGAUGGCGACCGGCGCACGGGUGAGUAACACGUAUCCAACCUGCCGUCUACUCUUGGCCAGCCUUCUGAAAGGAAGAUUAAUCCAGGAUGGCAUCAUGAGUUCACAUGUCCGCAUGAUUAAAGGUAUUUUCCGGUAGACGAUGGGGAUGCGUUCCAUUAGAUAGUAGGCGGGGUAACGGCCCACCUAGUCAACGAUGGAUAGGGGUUCUGAGAGGAAGGUCCCCCACAUUGGAACUGAGACACGGUCCAAACUCCUACGGGAGGCAGCAGUGAGGAAUAUUGGUCAAUGGGCGAUGGCCUGAACCAGCCAAGUAGCGUGAAGGAUGACUGCCCUAUGGGUUGUAAACUUCUUUUAUAAAGGAAUAAAGUCGGGUAUGCAUACCCGUUUGCAUGUACUUUAUGAAUAAGGAUCGGCUAACUCCGUGCCAGCAGCCGCGGUAAUACGGAGGAUCCGAGCGUUAUCCGGAUUUAUUGGGUUUAAAGGGAGCGUAGAUGGAUGUUUAAGUCAGUUGUGAAAGUUUGCGGCUCAACCGUAAAAUUGCAGUUGAUACUGGAUGUCUUGAGUGCAGUUGAGGCAGGCGGAAUUCGUGGUGUAGCGGUGAAAUGCUUAGAUAUCACGAAGAACUCCGAUUGCGAAGGCAGCCUGCUAAGCUGCAACUGACAUUGAGGCUCGAAAGUGUGGGUAUCAAACAGG